AGUGGUGUAGCUCAGAGGUAGAGCACUUGCCUAGUGAAUGAGAGGCCUGGGUUCCAUCUCCAACACCUCGA
Molecule: transfer RNA, 71 nt
Filed under: Fukomys damarensis (Damara mole-rat)
Lineage: Eukaryota; Metazoa; Chordata; Mammalia; Rodentia; Bathyergidae
Rfam family: tRNA
About the family: Transfer RNA (tRNA) molecules are approximately 80 nucleotides in length.
Source: Rfam by way of RNAcentral